GACGAACGCUGGCGGCGUGCUUAACACAUGCAAGUCGAACGGAAAGGCCCUGCUUUUGUGGGGUGCUCGAGUGGCGAACGGGUGAGUAACACGUGAGUAACCUGCCCUUGACUUUGGGAUAACUUCAGGAAACUGGGGCUCAUACCGGAUAGGAGCUCCUGCUGCAUGGGGGGGGUUGGAAAGUUUCGGCGGUUGGGGCUGGACUCGCGGCUUAUCCGCUUGUUGGUGGGGUAGUGGCUUACCAAGGCUUUGACGGGUAGCCGGCCUGAGAGGGUGACCGGCCACAUUGGGACUGAGAUACGGCGCAGACUCCAACGGGAGGCAGCAGUGGGGAAUAUUGCACAAUGGGCGGAAGCCUGAUGCAGCAACGCCGCGUGCGGGAUGACGGCCUUCGGGUUGUAAACCGCUUUCGCCUGUGACGAAGCGUGAGUGACGGUAAUGGGUAAAGAAGCAACGGCUAACUACGUG
RNAcentral lists this ribosomal RNA (468 nucleotides) under uncultured bacterium. RNAcentral describes it as "partial 16S ribosomal RNA". It matches the Rfam family "Bacterial small subunit ribosomal RNA", at positions 28 to 507 of the family's 1533-position model. The record is from RNAcentral.